AGCGAACGCUGGCGGCAGGCUUAACACAUGCAAGUCGAGCGGGCGUAGCAAUACGUCAGCGGCAGACGGGUGAGUAACGCGUGGGAACAUACCUUUUGGUUCGGAACAACACAGGGAAACUUGUGCUAAUACCGGAUAAGCCCUUACGGGGAAAGAUUUAUCGCCGAAAGAUUGGCCCGCGUCUGAUUAGCUAGUUGGUGAGGUAACGGCUCACCAAGGCGACGAUCAGUAGCUGGCUGAGAGGAUGAUCAGCCACAUUGGGACUGAGACACGGCCCAAACUCCUACGGGAGGCAGCAGUGGGGAAUAUUGGACAAUGGGCGCAAGCCUGAUCCAGCCAUGCCGCGUGAGUGAUGAAGGCCCUAGGGUUGUAAAGCUCUUUGUGCGGGGAAGAUAAUGACGGUACCGCAAGAAUAAGCCCCGGCUAACUUCGUGCCAGCCGCCGCCGUAAU
RNAcentral lists this ribosomal RNA (451 nucleotides) under uncultured bacterium. Its description in RNAcentral is "bacterial SSU rRNA". It matches the Rfam family "Bacterial small subunit ribosomal RNA", at positions 29 to 524 of the family's 1533-position model. The record is from RNAcentral.